UUGAGCCUUGAUGUGUAGGAUAGGUGGGAGGCUUUGAAGCGUGGACGCCAGUCUGCGUGGAGCCGACCUUGAAAUACCACCCUUUAAUGUUUGAUGUUCUAACGUGGAUCCGUAAUCCGGGUUGCGGACAGUGUCUGGUGGGUAGUUUGACUGGGGCGGUCUCCUCCUAAAGAGUAACGGAGGAGCACGAAGGUUGGCUAAUCCUGGUCGGACAUCAGGAGGUUAGUGCAAUGGCAUAAGCCAGCUUGACUGCGAGCGUGACGGCGCGAGCAGGUGCGAAAGCAGGUCAUAGUGAUCCGGUGGUUCUGAAUGGAAGGGCCAUCGCUCAACGGAUAAAAGGUACUCCGGGGAUAACAGGCUGAUACCGCCCAAGAGUUCAUAUCGACGGCGGUGUUUGGCACCUCGAUGUCGGCUCAUCACAUCCUGGGGCUGAAGUAGGUCCCAAGGGUAUGGCUGUUCGCCAUUUAAAGUGGUACGCGAGCUGGGUUUAGAACGUCGUGAGACAGUUCGGUCCCUAUCUGCCGUGGGCGCUGGAGAACUGAGGGGGGCUGCUCCUAGUACGAGAGGACCGGAGUGGACGCAUCACUGGUGUUCGGGUUGUCAUGCCAAUGGCACUGCCCGGUAGCUAAAUGCGGAAGAGAUAAGUGCUGAAAGCAUCUAAGCACGAAACUUGCCCCGA
RNAcentral lists this ribosomal RNA (679 nucleotides) under Salmonella enterica subsp. enterica serovar Infantis. Its description in RNAcentral is "partial 23S ribosomal RNA". It matches the Rfam family "Bacterial large subunit ribosomal RNA", at positions 2124 to 2802 of the family's 2925-position model. The record is from RNAcentral. RNAcentral also lists the same sequence under 1 other name. Lineage: Bacteria; Pseudomonadati; Pseudomonadota; Gammaproteobacteria; Enterobacterales; Enterobacteriaceae.